RNAcentral lists this long non-coding RNA (557 nucleotides) under Astyanax mexicanus (Mexican tetra). RNAcentral's name for it is "lncRNA (ENSAMXG00005003018.1)". Lineage: Eukaryota; Metazoa; Chordata; Actinopteri; Characiformes; Acestrorhamphidae. The record is from RNAcentral.
AGAAACGCCAUGUUUCCAAUAGGCGGUGCAGACAAAGACGCAGUCCAUACAAAAAAGCCCAGCGAUUCGAAAAUACACAUUAUUACAUACAUUUUCAGCCACCAAUAUCAGGGUCUUUCCACAGGGGGGAGCUUAAGUCACCAAAACUCUAAUGGACAUGGGCAAUAUCUCUCACGUAGAGCGAGCGUGGCAGGGUGUGAUGGAAAUCUAUUUAUGUUUUCCUUCUGAAAACCCGGUGCUUGGAAAUGACCCUGAGUGACCUGAUGGGGAUUGAUUUAGCUGCAGAACCGCAAGUGCACACAAAUUAACCUGACUGAAGGAGAGAGGACAGACAGAAAGAGACACAGAAAGGCCAAAGAAUUGAUCUCUGAAGCAUCAGUCCUUAUGGAUGCCCAGGAAGACAGAUGGACUAAAUGAAUGAAGGAGAGCAAAGAGGGAAAACAGUAGCUGCAUCUGAGUUUGAAUGCUUAACCCUUGUAUGUACGGAUGUUUCACCAGUCGGUUGUAAAUAUUUAGCAACAGAACAUAUAUAUCUACCACAAGAUAAUACACUGUAA